CCAAUAGCGUAUAUUAAAGUUGUUGCAGUUAAAAAGCUCGUAGUUGAAUUUCGGGGUUAGUAGGUUGGUCAUGCCUCUGGUAUGUACUGGUCUCACUGAUUCCUCCUUCCUGAUGAGCCGUAAUGCCAUUAAUUUGGUGUUGCGGGGAAUUUGGACUGUUACUUUGAAAAAAUUAGAGUGUUUAAAGCAAGCUAACGCUUGAAUACAUUAGCAUGGAAUAAUGAAAUAGGACGUUCGAUCCUAUUUUGUUGGUUUCUAGGAUUGACGUAAUGAUUAAUAGGGAUAGUUGGGGGCAUUAGUAUUCAAUUGUCAGAGGUGAAAUUCUUGGAUUUAUUGAAGACUAACUACUGCGAAAGCAUUUGCCAAGGAUGUUUUCAUUAAUCAAGAACGAAAGUUAGGGGAUCGAAGACGAUCAGAUACCGUCGUAGUCUUAACCAUAAACUAUGCCGACUAGGGAUCGGAUGAUGUUAAUUUUUUAAUGGCUCAUUCGGCGCCUUAC
RNAcentral lists this ribosomal RNA (499 nucleotides) under uncultured Glomeromycotina. RNAcentral's name for it is "partial small subunit ribosomal RNA". It matches the Rfam family "Eukaryotic small subunit ribosomal RNA", at positions 591 to 1091 of the family's 1831-position model. The record is from RNAcentral. Lineage: Eukaryota; Fungi; Glomeromycota.